GAUGAACGCUAGCGGUAGGCUUAACACAUGCAAGUCGAGGGGCAUCAUGAGCGGUAGAGAUACUGUUUGAUGGCGACCGGCGGAUGGGUGAGUAACGCGUAUGCAACCUACCUUUUACAUUGGGAUAGACACUGGAAACGGUGCGUAAACUCGGAUGAUAUUUGGCAUAGGCAUCUAUGUUAGAUUAAAUGUAUUAUUACAGGUAAGAGAUGGGCAUGCGUAGGAUUAGCUAGUUGGUGUGGUAAUGGCGCACCAAGGCAUCGAUCCUUAGGGGUUCUGAGAGGAAGGUCCCCCACAUUGGAACUGAGAACGGUCCAAACUCCUACGGGAGGCAGCAGUGAGGAAUAUUGGUCAAUGGACGGAAGUCUGAACCAGCCAUACCGCGUGCAGGAAGACGGUCUUAUGGAUUGUAAACUGCUUUUUUGCUAGGGUACAGACCCUGUCGAGCACAGGGGGAAGAAAGUAUAGUAAGAAUAAGCAUCGGCUAACUCCGUGCCAGCAGCCGCGGUAAUACGGAGGAUGCGAGCGUUAUCCGGAUUUAUUGGGUUUAAAGGGUGCGUAGGCUGUUAAGUAGGUCUAUGGUGAAAUCGUUGUGCUUAACACAACUGAGCUGUGGAAACCGUUUAACUAGAAUUUAAGUGGCGUAGGCGGAAUGAAUCAUGUAGAGGUGACAUUCAUAGAUAUGAUUCAGAACACCGUUCGCGAAGGCGGCUUACGAAGGUAAAAUUGACGCUAAUGCACGAAAGCGUGGGUAUCGAACAGGAUUAGAUACCCUGGUAGUCCACGCUGUAAACGAUGAUAACUAUAUGUCGGCGAUAUAAUGUCGGUGUAGCAGUGAAAGCGAUAAGUUAUCCACCUGGGGAGUACGAUCGCAAGGUUGAAACUCAAAGGAAUUGACGGGGGCCCGCACAAGCGGAGGAGCAUGUGGUUUAAUUCGAUGAUACGCGAGGAACCUUACCUGGACUUGAACGUGUAAUUAAUAUACAAGAGAUUGUAUAGUAUAGCAAUAUAAAUUAUGCGAGGUGCUGCAUGGUUGUCGUCAGCUCGUGCCGUGAGGUGUCAGGUUAAGUCCUAUAACGAGCGCAACCCUUAUCGUUAGUUACCAGCGAUUAUAGUCGGGGACUCUAGCGAUACUGCCGGCGUAAGCCGAGAGGAAGGUGGGGAUGACGUCAAAUCAGCACGGCCCUUACGUCCAGGGCGACACACGUGCUACAAUGGUCGGUACAGAGGGCAGUUACUUAGUGAUAAGAUACGAAUCUCUAAAGCCGGUCUCAGUACGGAUUGGAGUCUGCAACCCGACUCCAUGAAGUUGGAUUCGCUAGUAAUCGCAGAUCAGCCAUGCUGCGGUGAAUACGUUCCCGGGCCUUGUACACACCGCCCGUCAAGCCAUGGAAGUUGGUUGUACCUAAAGAGCGUAACCGUUGAGGAGCGUUUUAGGGUAAAGCCAGUAACUGGGGCU
Molecule: ribosomal RNA, 1459 nt
Filed under: uncultured bacterium
Lineage: Bacteria
Description: bacterial SSU rRNA
Rfam family: Bacterial small subunit ribosomal RNA
Source: RNAcentral